Long non-coding RNA from Magnolia sinica, 200 nucleotides. RefSeq lists it as uncharacterized. Lineage: Eukaryota; Viridiplantae; Streptophyta; Magnoliopsida; Magnoliales; Magnoliaceae. The record is from RefSeq and is a predicted model, not a curated record. The transcript has 2 exons.
CAGGGGAGUAUUCGGCUGAUGAUACCUGGGAAUUUGUAGAGCUGCAAGAACAGAUCACUAAAGGCUAUAUAAGUGUCUGGGCUCUUCAUAAGAAAGAUUUUAAUCAAUUGUGCCUAAAUUUAGGCCUACAAGCACUUCAGCCUUUUGACGCCGCUCGUGCUAGGAGUAGACCAUACAGAGGAUUUGUUUUUUUUUUUUUU